Molecule: ribosomal RNA, 322 nt
Filed under: uncultured Methanomassiliicoccales archaeon
Lineage: Archaea; Methanobacteriati; Thermoplasmatota; Thermoplasmata; Methanomassiliicoccales
Description: bacterial SSU rRNA
Rfam family: Archaeal small subunit ribosomal RNA
Source: RNAcentral
CGCAAAACGGGGAUUAGAUACCCCGGUAGUCCAGGGUGUAAACGCUGCAGACUUGGUGUUGGAGGCAAUUCGGUUGCAUUCAGUGCCGGAGAGAAGUUGUUAAGUCUGCUACUUGGGGAGUACGUCCGCAAGGAUGAAACUUAAAGGAAUUGGCGGGGGAGCACCGCAACGGGAGGAGCGUGCGGUUUAAUUGGAUUCAACACCGGAAAACUCACCAAGGGCGACUAUCACAUGAAAGCCAGGCUAAUGACCUUGCUUGAUUCUUAGAGAGGUGGUGCAUGGCCGUCGUCAGUUCGUACCGUAAGGCGUUCUCUUAAGUGAG